This 497-nucleotide ribosomal RNA is filed under the name uncultured bacterium. Its description in RNAcentral is "partial 16S ribosomal RNA". It matches the Rfam family "Bacterial small subunit ribosomal RNA", at positions 28 to 507 of the family's 1533-position model. The record is from RNAcentral.
GAUGAACGCUGGCGGUGUGCCUAAUACAUGCAAGUCGAGCGAACAGACGAGGAGCUUGCUCCUCUGACGUUAGCGGCGGACGGGUGAGUAACACGUGGAUAACCUACCUAUAAGACUGGGAUAUCUUCGGGAAACCGGCGCUAAUACCGGAUAAUAUCUUGCACCGCAUGGUUCAAUAGUGAAAGACGGCUUUUCUGUCUCUUAUAGCUGCAUCCCCGCCGCAUUAGCUAGUUGGUAAGGUAACGGCUUACCAAGGCAACGAUGCGUAGCCGAACUGAGAGGGUGAUCGGCCACACUGGAGCUGAGACACGGUCCAGACUCCUACGGGAGGCAGCAGUAGGGAAUCUGCCGCAAUAGGCGAAAGCCUGACGGAGCAACGCCGCGUGAGUGAUGAAGGUCUUCGGAUCGUAAAACUCUGUUAUUGGGGAAGAACAAAUGUGUAAGUAACUAUGCACGUCUUGACGGUACCGAAUCAGAAAGCCACGGCUAACUACGUG